CACCACCCUUCAUGUUCAUCUCUGGCACUGAUAAAAUGAGAAUGAUAACUCAUGGCUUCCGGGAUAAACUGUGAGUUAAAAGAUCUUGUCCCAUGACUGGCAAAGCCCUCAUCAUCAUCAAAUGCUAACCCAGUCUUUUGUAGAAGCUGAUUUUGUCAUGCCAUAAAAGUUGGAUCUCCAUCAACCUACCAUCCUACAUGUAACACAAUCACAGAUCAAUGGUCUUCAAGGUUGGCACAUGUCCUUGGAACCACUUAGUUAACCAGUAACCACUUAGUUAAUUUGUCUAACUACAUCCAGCAUCCCAAAUAUAUUACUCUUAUUCAUUCAUCCAUUUGAAUAUUUGUCAAGUAGUUUGAUGAGCUUUUAAUAUUU
Molecule: long non-coding RNA, 375 nt
Organism: Mustela erminea (ermine)
Lineage: Eukaryota; Metazoa; Chordata; Mammalia; Carnivora; Mustelidae
Exons: 3
Source: RefSeq, a predicted model, not a curated record